CAAUAGCGUAUAUUAAAGUUGUUGCGGUAAAAAAGGCUCGUAGUUGGAUUUCUACCGAAGAUAGCCGGUCGGGUCUUCGACCUUGUAUCUGGUUUUGUCUUUGGUAUCCUCAUAGGGAACGUUUCUGCGCUUUAUUGCGUGGUGCGGUAUCUAUGACUUUUACUUUGAGGAAAUUAGAGUGUUCACGGCAGGCAAACGCCUUGAAUAUAUUAGCAUGGAAUAAUAACAUAGGAUCUUCGUCCUAUUUUGUUGGUUUCUAGGGCUAAGAUAAUGAUUAAUAGGGAUAAUUGGGGGCAUCUGUAUCAACGCGUCAGAGGUGGAAUUCUUGGAUUGCGUUGCGACAAACUACUGCGAAAGCAUUUGCCAAGGAUGUUUUCAUUGA
Molecule: ribosomal RNA, 382 nt
Filed under: uncultured eukaryote
Lineage: Eukaryota
Description: partial 18S ribosomal RNA
Rfam family: Eukaryotic small subunit ribosomal RNA
Source: RNAcentral